GGGGUUGUGGCUCAGUGGUAGAGCGCUCGACUAGCACAUGUGAGGCCCUGAGUUCGAUCCUCAGCACCACA
This 71-nucleotide transfer RNA is filed under the name Marmota monax (woodchuck). Its description in RNAcentral is "tRNA.Ala". It matches the Rfam family "tRNA". From Rfam's summary of the family: Transfer RNA (tRNA) molecules are approximately 80 nucleotides in length. Their secondary structure includes four short double-helical elements and three loops (D, anti-codon, and T loops). Further hydrogen bonds mediate the characteristic L-shaped molecular structure. tRNAs have two regions of fundamental functional importance: the anti-codon, which is responsible for specific mRNA codon recognition, and the 3' end, to which the tRNAs corresponding amino acid is attached (by aminoacyl-tRNA synthetases). tRNAs cope with the degeneracy of the genetic code in two manners: having more than one tRNA (with a specific anti-codon) for a particular amino acid; and 'wobble' base-pairing, i.e. permitting non-standard base-pairing at the 3rd anti-codon position. The record is from RNAcentral. Lineage: Eukaryota; Metazoa; Chordata; Mammalia; Rodentia; Sciuridae.